This 291-nucleotide ribosomal RNA is filed under the name uncultured bacterium. Its description in RNAcentral is "partial 16S ribosomal RNA". It matches the Rfam family "Bacterial small subunit ribosomal RNA", at positions 775 to 1067 of the family's 1533-position model. The record is from RNAcentral.
GGAUUAGAUACCCUGGUAGUCCACGCCGUAAACGAUGAGUGCUAAAUAUCGGGAAUUCAUUUUUCGGUCUUACAGCUAACGCAUUAAGCACUCCGCCUGAGUAGUACGGUCGCAAGACUAAAACUCAAAGGAAUUGACGGGGGCCCGCACAAGCGGUGGAGCAUGCGGUUUAAUUCGAUAAUCCGCGAGGAACCUUACCAACCUUUGACAUAUUUGUCGCGAGUGUAGAGAUACACUUUUCAUCUAGGAUGGACAUUUACAGGGUUGCAUGGUCGUCGUCAGCUCGUGCCG